RNAcentral lists this ribosomal RNA (403 nucleotides) under uncultured bacterium. RNAcentral's name for it is "partial 16S ribosomal RNA". It matches the Rfam family "Bacterial small subunit ribosomal RNA", at positions 29 to 526 of the family's 1533-position model. The record is from RNAcentral.
AUUGAACGCUGGCGGCAGGCCUAACACAUGCAAGUCGAGCGAGCGGCGGACGGGUGAGUAAUGUAUGGGGACUGCCCGAUAGAGGGGGAUAACUACUGGAAACGGUAGCUAAUACCGCAUACUAUCGGAUAACCCAUAUGGGAUUUGCUAGUAGGUUAGGUAAUGGCUCACCUAGGCGACGAUCCCUAGCUGGUCUGAGAGGAUGAUCAGCCACACGGGGACUGAGACACGGACCAGACUCCUACGGAGGCAGCAGUGGGGAAUAGUGCACAAUGGGCGCAAGCCGGAUGCAGCCAUGCGGCGUGUAUGAAGAAGGCCCUAGGGUUGUAAAGUACUUUAAGUCGGGAGGCGGUAGAGAAAGAAGAAGCACCGGCUAACUCCGUGCCAGCAGCCGCGGUAAUAG